RNAcentral lists this unclassified non-coding RNA (233 nucleotides) under Hevea brasiliensis (rubber tree). The record is from RNAcentral. Lineage: Eukaryota; Viridiplantae; Streptophyta; Magnoliopsida; Malpighiales; Euphorbiaceae.
AGAAUUCUUAGUGAGAAUGAAGAAACAAUGAAAAGCCCCCUUUCACACACAAUCUCAUAGAUAUUCGCAUAAACCCCUAGACAUUUCAUUGCAACUACAAAAUGAACUAUGAAAUAAUUCUAAUUCAUGGAUCAUACAUCAUGAAUCUUGACAGAGUUAGUUGUGAUCGAAAGUAGCCCGCCAACUCAAAAUGCUGUCGUUCACCCCAAUUCUAUUUGAGAAGCCAGUUACUG